This is a long non-coding RNA of Patella vulgata (common limpet), 358 nucleotides long. RefSeq lists it as uncharacterized. Lineage: Eukaryota; Metazoa; Mollusca; Gastropoda; Patellidae. The record is from RefSeq and is a predicted model, not a curated record. The transcript is spliced from 3 exons.
ACUUGACCAAUAUUACAAAAUGGGAUCGAGGGGAAGCAAACUUGUUAAUACAACCAUUAUUACAGAGGGGGAUAUAGUUUUCUUUCAAAGACCAGGUUAUAAAUGUUAUGGUAUCUAUGUAGGUAAUGAUGAAAUAGUCUAUUUAGCUGGGGAUGAUAACUCGGAUACUAUGGUUAAAAGGGAAAACAUGUGGAAGGAAGCCAAGGGCUCUAAAAUCACCACAGUAAAUACAGAUAUUAAAAGACGUCCGUUACCAAUAAAGGAAGUAGUAGAGAGGGCUCUAUCCAAGCUGGGUGAAGGUGAUUAUGAUCUGUUCGAGAAUAGUUGUGAACAUUUUGCUAUUUGGUGUCGAUAUGGA